This 624-nucleotide ribosomal RNA is filed under the name uncultured bacterium. RNAcentral's name for it is "bacterial SSU rRNA". The stretch from base 1 to 543 matches the Rfam family "Bacterial small subunit ribosomal RNA", at positions 338 to 873 of the family's 1533-position model. The record is from RNAcentral.
CCUACGGGAGGCAGCAGUGGGGAAUUUUGGACAAUGGGCGCAAGCCUGAUCCAGCAAUGCCGCGUGCAGGAUGAAGGCCUUCGGGUUGUAAACUGCUUUUGUACGGAACGAAACGGUGAGCUCUAAUACAGUUUGCUAAUGACGGUACCGUAAGAAUAAGCACCGGCUAACUACGUGCCAGCAGCCGCGGUAAUACGUAGGGUGCGAGCGUUAAUCGGAAUUACUGGGCGUAAAGCGUGCGCAGGCGGUGAUGUAAGACAGAUGUGAAAUCCCCGGGCUCAACCUGGGACCUGCAUUUGUGACUGCAUCGCUAGAGUACGGUAGAGGGGGAUGGAAUUCCGCGUGUAGCAGUGAAAUGCGUAGAUAUGCGGAGGAACACCGAUGGCGAAGGCAAUCCCCUGGACCUGUACUGACGCUCAUGCACGAAAGCGUGGGGAGCAAACAGGAUUAGAUACCCUGGUAGUCCACGCCCUAAACGAUGUCAACUGGUUGUUGGGUCUUCACUGACUCAGUAACGAAGCUAACGCGUGAAGUUGAACCGCCGUGGGGUUGGUUACGGCGCGAGUAGAACGACANAGAGUUAGACGGCGNGAGACGNGCGACGGACGACGACGAGGGAGGAGG